This 3702-nucleotide ribosomal RNA is filed under the name Triticum aestivum (bread wheat). Its description in RNAcentral is "partial small subunit ribosomal RNA". The record is from RNAcentral. Lineage: Eukaryota; Viridiplantae; Streptophyta; Magnoliopsida; Poales; Poaceae.
GCGCACCUGGGGACCGACUGACUACGUAGCACACGCGCAGGACGCACGGAGUGGAGGCAGACGCCAACCUCUCUCCUCUACCUGACCUUUUUAUAGAGCGCUCGGGUGGAGCGCGCAGAGGUAGCUGGAUCGGCGGAGGUACGAGCACGUAGGAGGGCGCAGUUACCGCGGGUUUGGAGGAGUAGAGCCUAGGGCACCCGGCUCCACGCCCGUACCUCCGCUCGUAGGGACCGCCGGCGCCGCCGGAUGUCCGUUUCCCACUGCCGCCGCCGCCGCGAGCUAAUCUAGGCGCCCUCUCUCUCUCCUACUCUCCCUCUCUAUUCCUUCUUCUACUCUCUCUCUCUCUCUCUCUCUCUCUCUCUCUCUCUCCUUUCCCCUCUCCUUCCCGAAGAUGCAGUGGCGAGAGACCUACGUGCGGUAGGUGGGCGCGUGCGAGCGGUGGUUGGAGCGGCCGAAGUGGUCCAAGGAGGUGCUGGGGGCGCUACUCGCGUUCCUGGUCCUGCUGCAGCGGCGCCGCCGGGGCCCCCGUUCUCGCCGUUCGCCGCAACGCAGCUGCCGGAACGGCGGCGGCGCCGACUCCGGCGGUUCCGGGCCGCGCUCUUCCUCCGCCUCGUGCGCGUCCGGCACGAGCGCGCGAUGCUGAGACUGCUCCGGAAGGCGUUGGAGAUGCUGUCGCAGCGGCUGGAGAAGCAGACCGACGAGUUCAGCCCGGACCUCGUGGACGCGCGCCCGUUGUGCCGGUUCUAGCACAAGCGGCGGUUCACGCGAGCAGCAUGCGUACCCAGAGGAAACGAGGUACCCACGGCGACCGACUCCUACCUCGUCGUCCGUAUCUUCUUUAGAUGUUGGUCAAAGAGAACCGACGCGGUAGAAGGCGACUGUCAUUGAGAUGUGUUGUCGGACGAUUCCAACAAAGAACGUUUUUUUUUUUUGUAUUCAGAACGUAGUAAGUAUUUUUUCAUAUACCAGUUAAAGGAAAUAUUUACAACACGAAUUUUCAUGGAAUCAAUUCAGGUAGCUGGCACUCUAGAACGAGCGGCCGGAGUAGAAAAAGAAGUCCAGCCAUCAUGCAGCAAAGUUAGGUCCCAAUUCUAAGUAGAGGGAAGUUGAUAUUAAACUUGUAAAUCGGAAAAAGGCGAGUAAUGUUCGCUGAUCCCUCGUGUGCACACGAGGGAUCGUAAGGGCUCGUGUGUGAGUUUAAAAAAAUAGGAUUAUGAUACUAUUUUUUAGGUGAGAUUUUUUUCUUUCUAGAACAGAGUACACAUUAAUAAAACACACAAGUUAAAAAAUUUUUUCAGUAUUGAAAACUUACCUCGUAGUUUUAAUUCUAGGCAAAAGUGGCAAUCUAAGACCCGCUGCACGAGAAGUUUUGAUCUAGGGUACAACUAUACAAAGCUGCUUAAAAACAAGAAGCCCGUUGAAACCAAGUGAUAUUCCGUUGAAACCAUGGUGACAUCCGUUGAAAACCAAUCCCACACAUAGUACCAGUGGAUAGUAGGCCUACAAGGAAACUCAACCGAUACUACUGACGGUUUUACGGAUCGUAGUGCACAUUCAACAGAUGGUACUGAUGGAUAGUUGAAACGACGAUAUACUUCGUGAACGACGGUCCAACGGAUACUACUGAUGCAUAGUUGAGUUACGAGAAUAUUUGAACCGAUAGUACUAAGAGUUCAAAGUAUCCCAGUGGAUACUUCAACAAAAACUACUAAUAAAAAGAGUUCGUUGAAACAACAGUGUUUAUCCGUUGAAAGCCAAUCCGAUACAUAGUACUAGUGGAUAGUAGGGCUACUAAGAAAACUGAACCGAUGUUACUGAUAGUUUAACGGAUCGUACUGUAUAUUCAACGGAUCACAGUUGAUACUUGAACGAAAGCUGAUAGGAAAAAAAAGUGUUCGUUGAAACCACGGUGCCUCUCCGUUGAAAACAUAAUGUCAUCCGUUGAAAGUUAAUCCAACACAUAGUAUCAGUAGAUAGUAGGAUUACAAGAAAACUCAACCGAUGCUACUGAUAGUUUAACGGAUCGUAGUGAACAUUCAACGGAUGGUACUGUUGGAUAGUUGCAACCACGAUGUACUGGGUAGAACAACGAAUAGUACUGAUGGAUAGUUGAGUUACGAGAAUAUUUCAACCCAUAGUACUAGAGUUCAACGAUGCGUAGUGGAUACUUUAACGAAAACUGCUUUUUGAAGAGUUCGUUGAAAACACGGUGCCUCUCCGUUGAAAACAUAAUGUCAUUCGUUGAAAACGAAUCCAACACAUAGUACCAGUAGAUAGUAGUUUUACAAGAAAACUCAACCUAUGCUACUUAUGGUUCAACGGAUGGUAGUGUACAUUCAACGGAUGGUACUGAUCGAUAGUUGAAACUAUGAUGUAUUGCGUGGAGCAACGAUCCAACGGAUACUACCGAUGUAUAGUUUAGUUACGAAAAUAUUCAACCGAUAGGACUUGCAAUUGAACGGAUCGCGGUGGAUACUUUAAAGAAAACGACUUGAAAAAAGAACAGUCUAUCUGUUGAAACCGCCUACCCCUCCGUUGAAAACUUUAUUCCAUUCGUUGAAAGCCAAUCCAAUACAUAGUACCAGUGGAUUGUUGGGUUACAAGAAAACUCAACGGAUUAUACUGAUUGUUCAACAGAUCGUAGUGGACAUUCAACGGAUGGUACUGAUGGAUAGUUGAACCACUAUGUACUUCGUAAAACAACGUUACAACGUAUAUCACUGAUGGGAUAGUUGAGCCACGAGGGUCGAUAGUACUGUCAGUACAACUGAUCGUAAUAUAUAAUUCAACGGAAGCCGUUUGAAAAAAAGCUCGCUAAAACUACGAUCCUACUUGUUAAAACCACGAUGUUCUUCGUUAAAAAAACAGUUCAACGGAUAAUACUGAUAAUAAUUUGAUUACUAAAAGAUUAUACCGAUAGUACUGAGAGUUUACUGAUUGUAGUAAGAUUUCAACGAAAACUAGUUGUAAAAAAAGUCUCCGUUGAAAUUAUGGUACCCCCCCUCCCCCCUCCCCGUUGAAACCACGAUGCUCUUCGUUGAAACACCACGUGGUCCUCUUCAGACUACUAUUCCGACUUCGAGAAAGUAGAAGAUAACUACCUUUCUUACUAUUCCUACUGGUCCCCAUCUACUGGUUUUUUUCCCUCGACACGAUGACCUUUCCCCCGACCCUGUCGUUUCUUUAGUUCCGUCAAUGAUGAGACGCGGUAGAUACGUCUCUAAUUAAUGGAUAUCAUCUCUCGUUCCCUGUAUAUUCUUUAGAGGUCCGUCGAAGCGAAUCUACGUAGUAGAAGACGAUCCUGGAUCCUCAGUCGAACUUCUUACUGGAAGAGUCCAAUUAAGAAAUAUCUCUUGUCCUCUGACGUUGACUGUACGACCUACCACUUAUUGGUUUAAACACCUGUUUCUGUCUAUCAAGUAGCGUUCCCCACCAUAAAUCCUAUAUAUAUGUGUUUUCUCCUUUGAAAGAAAACAUGUCUUGGUUUAAUAUACUACAUUAACUGGUGAUAAAGAUUCUUUACAAGUAGCACAUAAUUCAUGUAAAAUAACACAGUGAAAAAAAACUCCCCAUCGAAAUAAGUAGUUUGUGGUGUUUCACACGUUACCUCAAGUAGUUUGGACCGAAAUAACACAGUGGAUACAAAUGGAAGAAAAAAUGGCACAGCGGAUACAAAUGGAAGAAAAAUCGCAUUCGAUAAAC